CAGCCACAUAAUUUCAGCUACUGAGUAUUAUUAUUUGCAAGACUUCUUACACGAGUCUUUCAGUUGACCCACCUACCUGAAAUGUUCUCCCAGUUUUCCAAAGAUUGAGUGAACUUUAACUACAAUACAAAAAACCCCAGUUGCCUACAACUAAUUUCCACUGUGAUCCUUCAAGAUUUCCAUAAAAAAGUGAACUUUAAGCAGAAUAUCAAAACCCCAGUUGCCUAUCAGCAAGUUCAGUUGUGAUCUUUCAUGAUUUCCAUAAAAGAGUGAGCUUUAACGAGAAUGCAAAAAAUCCCUGUUGCCAAAAAGCAAUUUUUACUGUGAUUUUUCAAGAUUUAGCUAUGAAGAAAGGAUCUUUAGCUCCU
Molecule: long non-coding RNA, 368 nt
Filed under: Nicotiana tabacum (common tobacco)
Lineage: Eukaryota; Viridiplantae; Streptophyta; Magnoliopsida; Solanales; Solanaceae
Description: long non-coding RNA (NTAB_LNC019156)
Source: RNAcentral